This is a long non-coding RNA of Tupaia belangeri chinensis (Chinese tree shrew), 790 nucleotides long. RefSeq lists it as uncharacterized. NCBI's taxonomy places the organism in Eukaryota, Metazoa, Chordata, Mammalia, Scandentia, Tupaiidae. The transcript has 4 exons. The record is from RefSeq and is a predicted model, not a curated record.
GAAGGUGCUGGAACGCCUGCACCCGGGACUUGGCUAAGAAGCCGCUUGGAACGCCAGCUGUGUGCUACUCCUCGGGCGCGCGGAAAAAGCGAGGCUAGCUUUUUGGAAGUGUUCGCCCACUGCACUCAGCUCCUAAUCCCAGCCGUUGGAGCACAGAGUUUUGCCUCCUUCAGCUCUCGACCAGCCGGUUUCGCUAGAGAGACCUUAGCCGCCCCUGUGUAAUGAAGUGGCGGAGAGAAAGGCGUUGAAAAUACCUUGGGCUCUGGCUUUGAUAAAAUACGCUGCGAUAGGAGAGAGGCUCAGAGAGCAAAGGACCUGAAGGCAGCCUCUGGUUAACAGUAAGCAAUGAAUGGAGGCCCUCAUUUCAACAUCCCUUGAGGACCUGAGUCCUGUUAGCAGUUGCCUGUGUUAGACUGGAAGCAGACCCAUUUCUAGAUAUUAUUAUGCAGUAAAUUACAGUUAUUUCAAGAAAAACAUUUGAAGACCAUUUACAUUAACGAACUGAACCAAUUUGUCUUAUUUCCUUCUACUUGAGAAGAAAGUUAAAGCAGACUCUAGUGCAACUGUUUUUGUUUUGAAAAAAAAAAAUCAAAAAUUAUCCAGAAGCAAUAAGGAGUGGCCUUGAUCCUAAUGCUUUUAUUUAUGGAACCCAGACUCCACUUGGCCCCGCCACCACUGCAGUGCUAUGGAAGUGCCGCUCCACGAGGUCACUAUCUACGCUGCCUUUGAGUGUCUUCAGAAUGUUAUACAAGUACUCAGACCCAGUAGGAAUCUUUUUUUUUUUUUUUAA